GAAUUAUUUCUCACCAGUUAUUUCCCCAAGAAUGGAGACAUAAAAAGAUCCAAGCACCGGUAUGUCCCAGGCUCUUCGCAUACAUCAAAUCACAUAAACAACCUGUAAAGCCUCGACCCAUAGUCGAGAAGAGAAAUGCCCUUACCUUUAAUCUUGAAAAGGUUAUUGCCAGUUGGUGUCUAUCAAUACUAGGCCACAACGAAAACUCCACUACCAUCACUGAAGACGCUUUGACUAGAAUUAAAACGAUUACUUGGCAGCCGCACAAGUUACAUUAUGGCCGUAUUCGAUUAUGACAAUUUAUAUCCUUCACUAAAGUUAGAGCCAGUCUGUUUAGCGCUAUAUAGAUUCAUGCUUGGAAACCUACCAAAUGGCCAGGGAAGAGAAAAACUUUUGAGGGACAUCGUCCACUUACUUUGUUACGAUUCUUAUUUUACUUUUCGUGGUACGUACUACCAACAAACUAAAGGGGUUCCCAUUGGAAGUCCAGUAGCCCAUUGGCCGAAAUUAUCUUAAGAGAGGUUGAGUGUACCGUCAUACCCAGGUUUGGGCCCCACCUUGUCAAGUUUGUGAGGU
RNAcentral lists this long non-coding RNA (576 nucleotides) under Androctonus crassicauda. The record is from RNAcentral. Lineage: Eukaryota; Metazoa; Arthropoda; Arachnida; Scorpiones; Buthidae.